Odocoileus virginianus texanus is the source of this 631-nucleotide long non-coding RNA. RefSeq lists it as uncharacterized. The record is from RefSeq and is a predicted model, not a curated record. NCBI's taxonomy places the organism in Eukaryota, Metazoa, Chordata, Mammalia, Artiodactyla, Cervidae.
CAGGCUCGGGCCUCACCUUCUCCACCGUGGCCUCAAAGGCUCCUUGCUCGUCCGAAAGGCCAGUAGCUGCAGCCUUGAUGGGAGGUGUGGCACCCUAUGAGAAAUCCAAAGAUAAUCCAGCAGUGAAAAACUAGGAGUCCAAAAUAUUCAGAUUCAGACUUGUAAAGACCUGUAGACUUAUAGCAUUUCCCCUAGUUAAAAGAAUAACAAAUAUAUAAGGGCAGAAGAAGUAAAAACAAAAGGAAAUGGAGAAGGCACCUCCACAGGCAUAGCAACAAUCAUGUGACCUGGCGCCCCAGGUUUCCAAGCAGCCAACCUGCAUGAACACAGACGCAGAGUUCCCAGGCACGGAGGACGCAAAGAGGCUGGCGGCUCAUUAAACAGUGGGUCCCGGGAGACAGAGACAGAGAAACUCCGCCUAUGAGUGAAAGUUCUGAAGUCCAGAGAAAGAAGGUAAUUCUUUCAGAGCUGCAGCCAGCGACAGCGCACAGACCUGGACUUCUGACACCCAGCCCCAUGACUCUAAUGCUACCGCACACAUUCUGACACCAUACCCCUAUUCUGUCUGAAGUGAAACUUCUUGUGAUUGCUUUGGGAAAUGAUAACUUAAUUAAAUCUGAGUUAGCUGUGG